Molecule: signal recognition particle RNA, 96 nt
Filed under: Actinomycetota bacterium
Lineage: Bacteria; Bacillati; Actinomycetota
Description: Actinobacteria bacterium signal recognition particle sRNA small type
Rfam family: Bacterial small signal recognition particle RNA
About the family: The signal recognition particle (SRP) is a universally conserved ribonucleoprotein involved in the co-translational targeting of proteins to membranes.
Source: RNAcentral
UCCAGCCCCUCAUACGGCAUCACCCUGUGAACCUCCCUAGGGCCGGAAGGCAGCAAGGAUAAGCAGGCUCUGAUGGGUGUGUGAGGGGUCCUUCUU